AAGUCGUAACAAGGUCUCCGUUGGUGAACCAGCGGAGGGAUCAUUACAGAGUUACUAAACUCCCAACCCUUUGUGUACUUACCACUAUUGCUUCGGCGGGCUGCUGCUACCCUGUAGCUACCCUGUAAUUCAGGGUGGGCUUGCCUGGUAGUUCGCCUUAAGGCCCGUCAGAGGACCACUAAACUCUUGUUACCCUGUACGUAUUUCUGAAUGCUUCAACUUAAUAAGUUAAAACUUUCAACAACGGAUCUCUUGGUUCUG
Molecule: unclassified non-coding RNA, 261 nt
Filed under: Hypoxylon lenormandii
Lineage: Eukaryota; Fungi; Ascomycota; Sordariomycetes; Xylariales; Hypoxylaceae
Description: partial internal transcribed spacer region
Rfam family: Eukaryotic small subunit ribosomal RNA (bases 1-46)
Source: RNAcentral